ACCAUUUUUCCAAAAUAAAAUAAAAAUCUGUUCUUGUCAGUUCAAUAUCUGAUAUGUCCCUAUCUGGGGACAAUAUAUGAAAUAGAUUUUUCCACAGUGAAAUAGGUUAUACAUAGCUGUGCCAUUAUUCAGAAUUCGUAAUUCGCGUGUAUGAAAUUUGAAGCCCCAAGCGGCUAAACCCGC
This is a small nuclear RNA of Salmo trutta (river trout), 183 nucleotides long. Its record names the gene U2. It matches the Rfam family "U2 spliceosomal RNA". Rfam says of the family: U2 is a small nuclear RNA (snRNA) component of the spliceosome (involved in pre-mRNA splicing). Complementary binding between U2 snRNA (in an area lying towards the 5' end but 3' to hairpin I) and the branchpoint sequence (BPS) of the intron results the bulging out of an unpaired adenosine, on the BPS, which initiates a nucleophilic attack at the intronic 5' splice site, thus starting the first of two transesterification reactions that mediate splicing. The record is from Ensembl. Lineage: Eukaryota; Metazoa; Chordata; Actinopteri; Salmoniformes; Salmonidae.